AGGAAGUGGUCGGGGGAAUCUGAGAAGGCACACGAGGCUUGUGUCCAGUACAGUCCACACCUUGCGCUACUCAGGUCUGCUUGUGCCCUCCC
Molecule: non-coding RNA, 92 nt
Organism: Callithrix jacchus (white-tufted-ear marmoset)
Lineage: Eukaryota; Metazoa; Chordata; Mammalia; Primates; Cebidae
Source: Rfam